UCAAUACACUCAACAACAUUUUUUCUUAAAACCCGUGCCACUCCCUCCUAGGAAGUUCUUUCAUAGACGGAGGGAGUAGUAUUUAUAAUAAUAAUUAAUUGUAUUGCGAGUGGAGAAUAGAGCCCGUCAUGGCAUCAUGUGAUAGAUAGUUUUCAAAAAUGGAAAGGGUCUAAUUUUUGUGGACAUCCCAAAAUGGUAAAAAUUGACUAUUUUUUGUGGACGGAGGAAGUAAUAAAACUUCUAAAUAUAAAUGAUGA
This 257-nucleotide long non-coding RNA is filed under the name Salvia miltiorrhiza (redroot sage). RNAcentral describes it as "long non-coding RNA (SMIL_LNC009822)". Lineage: Eukaryota; Viridiplantae; Streptophyta; Magnoliopsida; Lamiales; Lamiaceae. The record is from RNAcentral.